Molecule: ribosomal RNA, 794 nt
Filed under: Salmonella enterica
Lineage: Bacteria; Pseudomonadati; Pseudomonadota; Gammaproteobacteria; Enterobacterales; Enterobacteriaceae
Also listed under: 2 other names
Description: partial 23S ribosomal RNA
Rfam family: Bacterial large subunit ribosomal RNA
Source: RNAcentral
GGCCAGGCUGUCUCCACCCGAGACUCAGUGAAAUUGAACUCGCUGUGAAGAUGCAGUGUACCCGCGGCAAGACGGAAAGACCCCGUGAACCUUUACUAUAGCUUGACACUGAACAUUGAGCCUUGAUGUGUAGGAUAGGUGGGAGGCUUUGAAGUGUGGACGCCAGUCUGCAUGGAGCCGACCUUGAAAUACCACCCUUUAAUGUUUGAUGUUCUAACGUGGACCCGUGAUCCGGGUUGCGGACAGUGUCUGGUGGGUAGUUUGACUGGGGCGGUCUCCUCCUAAAGAGUAACGGAGGAGCACGAAGGUUGGCUAAUCCUGGUCGGACAUCAGGAGGUUAGUGCAAUGGCAUAAGCCAGCUUGACUGCGAGCGUGACGGCGCGAGCAGGUGCGAAAGCAGGUCAUAGUGAUCCGGUGGUUCUGAAUGGAAGGGCCAUCGCUCAACGGAUAAAAGGUACUCCGGGGAUAACAGGCUGAUACCGCCCAAGAGUUCAUAUCGACGGCGGUGUUUGGCACCUCGAUGUCGGCUCAUCACAUCCUGGGGCUGAAGUAGGUCCCAAGGGUAUGGCUGUUCGCCAUUUAAAGUGGUACGCGAGCUGGGUUUAGAACGUCGUGAGACAGUUCGGUCCCUAUCUGCCGUGGGCGCUGGAGAACUGAGGGGGGCUGCUCCUAGUACGAGAGGACCGGAGUGGACGCAUCACUGGUGUUCGGGUUGUCAUGCCAAUGGCACUGCCCGGUAGCUAAAUGCGGAAGAGAUAAGUGCUGAAAGCAUCUAAGCACGAAACUUGCCCCGA